RNAcentral lists this long non-coding RNA (202 nucleotides) under Solanum tuberosum (potato). RNAcentral's name for it is "long non-coding RNA (STUB_LNC001705)". The record is from RNAcentral. Lineage: Eukaryota; Viridiplantae; Streptophyta; Magnoliopsida; Solanales; Solanaceae.
GCUGAUGAGAGAGGUUCCCUUACCUGAUUUGUGGUUUUAACCACUUCUUCUGAGCUAAAUUUUUCUGUUGCAGAUGAUUGAGCAUUUGCUGAAAUUUUUUUGUGACCUCUGUCUAUUUCAGGGGGUUGCAGCCCUGAAUCCACUUGGUUGAUUUGCUUCCUAGCACUAAAACAUUCAACUAGCACAUCUUGUGAUGAUGCCA